Small nucleolar RNA from Molossus molossus (Pallas's mastiff bat), 68 nucleotides. RefSeq annotates it as small nucleolar RNA SNORD42. The record is from RefSeq and is a predicted model, not a curated record. Lineage: Eukaryota; Metazoa; Chordata; Mammalia; Chiroptera; Molossidae. The transcript has a single exon.
CUGCAGAUGUCAGGGAAAAAAGCACUAUUUGGAAAAGAAUGACAUGAACAAAGGAACCCCUGGUGCAU